RNAcentral lists this ribosomal RNA (486 nucleotides) under uncultured bacterium. Its description in RNAcentral is "partial 16S ribosomal RNA". It matches the Rfam family "Bacterial small subunit ribosomal RNA", at positions 30 to 507 of the family's 1533-position model. The record is from RNAcentral.
AUUGAACGCUGGCGGCAUGCCUUACACAUGCAAGUCGAACGGCAGCACGGGUGCUUGCACCUGGUGGCGAGUGGCGAACGGGUGAGUAAUACAUCGGAACAUGUCCUGUAGUGGGGGAUAGCCCGGCGAAAGCCGGAUUAAUACCGCAUACGAUCUACGGAUGAAAGCGGGGGACCUUCGGGCCUCGCGCUAUAGGGUUGGCCGAUGGCUGAUUAGCUAGUUGGUGGGGUAAAGGCCUACCCAGGCGACGAUCAGUAGCUGGUCUGAGAGGACGACCAGCCACACUGGGAGUGAGACACGGCCCAGGCUCCUACGGGAGGCAGCAGUGGGGAAUUUUGGACAAUGGGCGAAAGCCUGAUCCAGCAAUGCCGCGUGUGUGAAGAAGGCCUUCGGGUUGUAAAGCACUUUUGUCCGGAAAGAAAUCCUUGGCCCUAAUACGGUCGGGGGAUGACGGUACCGGAAGAAUAAGCACCGGCUAACUACGUG